UUGGGAGACCGGCUGAAGGAAGAAGGAAUUUCCUUAUUCCCUUCAGAUAUCCCAAGGUCGUUCGAGAUUGGUAGUAUCGCGCUUUCAAACUAUCUCAGGUUCGACACAAUACUCUCCGUCGCCGUAUUCACCCAAGCGUGGGAGAGAGCAAUCCUUACCGUCGAAUUCGGUUCUAACCACCUAGAAGUAACAAGAGAUUGCUAAACUAGAAAGAGUUGAGAAGCUCCCCUAGACAACAGAGGGUGAAGGAAAAGCUUUAGAACAAUUGAGCAAAAGAAUUCAGCAAUCUUGCUUGAUGAGAAGCAAGCCUGCUGGGUUUAAGCUCCAGCAAGAACCUUGAAAACUGCAUAGCAACAAAAAUUCUGUCAGGUAGAUAGCUUAAAGCCAAUGGCUUGAAGCUAAGUAUCACAGACACCAAUAAAGGUAUUGU
Molecule: ribosomal RNA, 430 nt
Filed under: Microcoleus vaginatus
Lineage: Bacteria; Bacillati; Cyanobacteriota; Cyanophyceae; Oscillatoriales; Microcoleaceae
Description: 16S-23S internal transcribed spacer
Source: RNAcentral